UACGGGGGGAGCAAGCGUUGUUCGGAUUUACUGGGCGUAAAGGGCGCGUAGGCGGCGCAACAAGUCACUUGUGAAAUCUCCGGGCUUAACCCGGAGCGGCCAAGUGAUACUGUCGUGCUAGAGUGCGGAAGGGGCUACUGGAAUUCUCGGUGUAGCGGUGAAAUGCGUAGAUAUCGAGAGGAACACCUGCGGCGAAGGCGGGUAGCUGGGCCGACACUGACGCUGAUGCGCGAAAGCGUGGGUAGCAAACAGG
This 253-nucleotide ribosomal RNA is filed under the name uncultured bacterium. RNAcentral's name for it is "partial 16S ribosomal RNA". It matches the Rfam family "Bacterial small subunit ribosomal RNA", at positions 524 to 776 of the family's 1533-position model. The record is from RNAcentral.